UACGUAGGGUGCGAGCGUUUGUCCGGAAUUACUGGGCGUAAAGAGCUCGUAGGUGGUUUGUCGCGUUGUUCGUGAAAACUCACAGCUUAACUGUGGGCGUGCGGGCGAUACGGGCAGACUUGAGUACUGCAGGGGAGACUGGAAUUCCUGGUGUAGCGGUGGAAUGCGCAGAUAUCAGGAGGAACACCGGUGGCGAAGGCGGGUCUCUGGGCCGAUACUGACGCUGAGGAGCGAAAGCGUGGGGGAGCGAACGG
This 254-nucleotide ribosomal RNA is filed under the name uncultured bacterium. Its description in RNAcentral is "partial 16S ribosomal RNA". It matches the Rfam family "Bacterial small subunit ribosomal RNA", at positions 524 to 775 of the family's 1533-position model. The record is from RNAcentral.